This 253-nucleotide ribosomal RNA is filed under the name uncultured bacterium. RNAcentral describes it as "partial 16S ribosomal RNA". It matches the Rfam family "Bacterial small subunit ribosomal RNA", at positions 524 to 776 of the family's 1533-position model. The record is from RNAcentral.
UACAGAGGGUGCAAGCGUUAAUCGGAAUUACUGGGCGUAAAGCGCACGUAGGCGGUUUUUUAAGUCAGAUGUGAAAGCCCCGGGCUCAACCUGGGAAUUGCAUUUGAAACUGGGGAACUAGAGUGUGUGAGAGGGGGGUAGAAUUCCAAGUGUAGCGGUGAAAUGCGUAGAGAUUUGGAGGAAUACCAGUGGCGAAGGCGGCCGCCUGGCACAACACUGACGCUCAGGUGCGAAAGCGUGGGCAGCAAACAGG